This 497-nucleotide ribosomal RNA is filed under the name uncultured bacterium. RNAcentral describes it as "partial 16S ribosomal RNA". It matches the Rfam family "Bacterial small subunit ribosomal RNA", at positions 28 to 507 of the family's 1533-position model. The record is from RNAcentral.
GAUGAACGCUGGCGGCGUGCCUAAUACAUGCGAGUCGAGCGAACAGACGAGGAGCUUGCUCCUCUGACGUUAGCGGCGGACGGGUGAGUAACACGUGGAUAACCUACCUAUAAGACUGGGAUAACUUCGGGAAACCGGAGCUAAUACCGGAUAAUAUAUUGAACCGCAUGGUUCAAUAGUGAAAGACGGUUUUGCUGUCACUUAUAGAUGGAUCCGCGCCGCAUUAGCUAGUUGGUAAGGUAACGGCUUACCAAGGCAACGAUGCGUAGCCGACCUGAGAGGGUGAUCGGCCACACUGGAACUGAGACACGGUCCAGACUCCUACGGGAGGCAGCAGUAGGGAAUCUUCCGCAAUGGGCGAAAGCCUGACGGAGCAACGCCGCGUGAGUGAUGAAGGUCUUCGGAUCGUAAAACUCUGUUAUUAGGGAAGAACAAAUGUGUAAGUAACUAUGCACGUCCUGACGGUACCUAAUCAGAAAGCCACGGCUAACUACGUG